AUGAAUAAUGAUGGUCUAAGCGCG
Molecule: non-coding RNA, 24 nt
Filed under: Arabidopsis thaliana (thale cress)
Lineage: Eukaryota; Viridiplantae; Streptophyta; Magnoliopsida; Brassicales; Brassicaceae
Source: RNAcentral